CCUGACCUUCCUAUCAGUAAAACAAAAUCCUAUUUAAAAAAAUUAUUUAAAACAACCCUUAUUAAUAAGUAUGUACUUGUAUAUGAAAACCACUAAUAAGUCAUAUUCCUGCCUAAAAUUAAAUUAUCAAGGUUUAUAGAAAAAUUCUCAGAAUUAUUUCUUGUAAGAUACCAAAAAAAAAAACUAAUUAUUGUCAAUAACAGGAAAGCUAUAUAUAGUAAGGAAUGCUAUUCAAUGUUAUAGUCCCUACAUAUUUUAUCUCUAUACUGUCCAUGCUCAUAUACCCAAGUCACAAUAAUCACAAUAUCAUCAUCACUAUCUACUAAAUCACCCCCCUGAAAGUUAAGACAAUUCAUGCUAUCAGCCGGAGAUAAAGAAUGGAGAAAAAAAAAAUAUGUCAGUCAUAAAUUUAGAAAAAUGAAUUAUAAAAUAUGUGAAUAUUUAACAAAAAAAAAUGAAAUGUUGCAUUACACCACCUGUAUGUUAUGCACUGAAAUGUCGAUAUUUAAAAUAAAAUACUGUUACAUAACUUGCCAUGAACAUUAGCCACCGCCAAAUUCAAAAUUUACAAUACAUUAGAAAAUAAAAAAAAGUAUCAGAAACUUAGUUAUCUUAACCUUUAAAAAAUCAUCACACCCAAAAGAAUUUAUCACAAUUCCAUGAAACUUCACCCCCAAUUAUCAUCAUAUACCUAGCUAUGAAAAUUUUAAAACAACCCUAGAGAAGAUGCAGCAAUGCCCAAUGUACAAAAAAAUUAUAUCUAUAUAUAUAUAUUAAAAUUGCUGAAAUAAAUUUAAAUUUUUGUUUUAUUAAAAGUGUCUUACCCCAAGAUAAGUGAGGAUGACCAAUGACAACUUUUGACCACCCCACGUUGGGCGCCAUCUUCUUAUGUUAUAAAUAUUAUCCCGGCAAGACUAUCCGGUUUACAGGGGCUAUUUCUA
Long non-coding RNA from Anthonomus grandis grandis, 941 nucleotides. RefSeq lists it as uncharacterized. The transcript is spliced from 2 exons. The record is from RefSeq and is a predicted model, not a curated record. NCBI's taxonomy places the organism in Eukaryota, Metazoa, Arthropoda, Insecta, Coleoptera, Curculionidae.